This 600-nucleotide ribosomal RNA is filed under the name uncultured bacterium. RNAcentral's name for it is "bacterial SSU rRNA". It matches the Rfam family "Bacterial small subunit ribosomal RNA", at positions 735 to 1340 of the family's 1533-position model. The record is from RNAcentral.
UGUUACUGACGCUAAAGCUCGAAAGUGCGGGUAUCGAACAGGAUUAGAUACCCUGGUAGUCCGCACGGUAAACGAUGGAUGCCCGCUGUUUGCCCUUCGGGGUGAGUGGCUAAGCGAAAGCGUUAAGCAUCCCACCUGGGGAGUACGCCGGCAACGGUGAAACUCAAAGGAAUUGACGGGGGCCCGCACAAGCGGAGGAACAUGUGGUUUAAUUCGAUGAUACGCGAGGAACCUUACCCGGGCUUGAAUUGCAGAUGACGGAUCUAGAGAUAGUGACUUCCUUCGGGACAUCUGUGAAGGUGCUGCAUGGUUGUCGUCAGCUCGUGCCGUGAGGUGUCGGCUUAAGUGCCAUAACGAGCGCAACCCUUCUCUUCAGUUGCCAUCAGGUUAAGCUGGGCACUCUGGAGACACUGCCACCGUAAGGUGUGAGGAAGGUGGGGAUGACGUCAAAUCAGCACGGCCUUGACGUCCGGGGCUACACACGUGUUACAAUGGCCGGUACAGAAAGUCGGAUGCCCGUAAGGUCAUUCUAAUCAAGAAAGCCGGUCCCAGUUCGGACUGAGGUCUGCAACCCGACCUCACGAAGCUGGAUCGCUAGUA